UACGUAGGGGGCAAGCGUUGUCCGGAAUCAUUGGGCGUAAAGAGCGUGUAGGUGGCUCGGUAAGUCCGCUGUGAAAGUCCAGGGCUCAACCCUGGAAUGCCGGUGGAAACUGUCGAGCUAGAGUCCGGAAGAGGCGAGUGGAAUUCCUGGUGUAGCGGUGAAAUGCGCAGAUAUCAGGAGGAACACCAAUGGCGAAGGCAGCUCGCUGGGACGGUACUGACACUGAGACGCGAAAGCGUGGGGAGCAAACAGG
Molecule: ribosomal RNA, 253 nt
Filed under: uncultured bacterium
Lineage: Bacteria
Description: partial 16S ribosomal RNA
Rfam family: Bacterial small subunit ribosomal RNA
Source: RNAcentral